AAGGUGUGACCUAUCAACUGUCGACUGUGGCAUAGACGCCCACAGUGGUUUUGACGGGUAACGGGGAAUUAGGGUUCGAUUCCGGAGAGGGAGCCUGAGAAACGGCUACCACUUCUAAGGAAGGCAGCAGGCACGCAAAUUACCCACUGGCCGAAGGCCGAGGUAGUGACGAAAAAUAACGAUACCAGACUCAUCCGAGGCCUGGUAAUCGGAAUGAGCACACUUUAAAUCCUUUAGCGAGGAACCAUUGGAGGGCAAGUCUGGUGCCAGCAGCCGCGGUAAUUCCAGCUCCAAUAGCGUAUAUUAAAUUUGUUGCGGUUAAAAAGCUCGUAGUUUGAUUUCGGCGAGCAGGGGGCGGUUCGUUAUUUGACGUAACUGCCCCAUUUGCUCGUGUUUCUUCGGCAGAACUCCCAGGGUGCUCUUCGCCGAGUGUCCUGUUGGGGGCUGCCAGGUUUACUUUGAAAAAAUUAGAGUGCUCCAAGCAGGCUCGACACGCCUGAAUAUUUGUGCAUGGAAUAAUGGAAUAGGACGUCGUUCCUAUUUUGUUGGUUUUAGGGAAUCGACGUAAUGAUUAAUAGGGACAGUCGGGGGCAUUAGUAUUCAGACGACAGAGGUGAAAUUCUUGGACCGUCUGGCGACUCACUGCUGCGAAAGCGUUUGCCAAGUAUGUUUUCAUUAAUCAAGAACGAAAGUUAUAGGUUCGAAGGCGAUCAGAUACCGCCCUAGUUCUAACCAUAAACGAUGCCAGCUAGCGAUCCGCAGAUGUUUUUAUUGUAGGCUCUGCGGGAAGCUUCCGGGAAACCAAAGCUUUUGGGUUCCGGGGGAAGUAUGGUUGCAAAGCUGAAACUUAAAGAAAUCGACGGAAGGGCACCACCAGGCGUGCAACUUGCGGCUUAAUUCGACUCAUCACUGGAAAUCUCACCAGGCCCGGACACCGGAAGGAUUGACAGAUUGAGAUCUCUUUCUCGAUUCGGUGGGUGGUGGUGCAUGGCCGUUCUUAGUUGGUGGAGUGAUUUGUCUGGUUAAUUCCGAUAACGAACGAGACUCCGUCCUGCUAAAUAGUUGUAACGUCACACGUGCGUUGCAAAUUCUUCUUAGAGGGACUGGCGGCAUCUAGCCGCACGAGAUGGAGCAAUAACAGGUCUGUGAUGCCCUUAGAUGUUCUGGGCCGCACGCGUGUUACACUGAAGGGAUCAACGUGUCUUCCCUGACCGAGAGGUCCGGGUAACCCGCUGAACCCCCUUCGUGGUAGGGAUCGGAGCUUGCAAUUAUUCUCCGUGAACCAGGAAUGCCCAGUAAGUGCAAGUCAUAAGCUUGCAUUGAUUACGUCCCUGCCCUUUGUACACACCGCCCGUCGCUACUACCGAUUGAACGUUUUAGUGAGGUAUUUGGACCGGGCCUCUGGUGGCUCACGCCUCCAGUGCUGCUCGGG
Molecule: ribosomal RNA, 1432 nt
Filed under: Cyclops sp. JIN
Lineage: Eukaryota; Metazoa; Arthropoda; Copepoda; Cyclopoida; Cyclopidae
Description: SSU rRNA
Rfam family: Eukaryotic small subunit ribosomal RNA
Source: RNAcentral